This 402-nucleotide ribosomal RNA is filed under the name uncultured Veillonella sp. RNAcentral's name for it is "bacterial SSU rRNA". It matches the Rfam family "Bacterial small subunit ribosomal RNA", at positions 338 to 736 of the family's 1533-position model. The record is from RNAcentral. Lineage: Bacteria; Bacillati; Bacillota; Negativicutes; Veillonellales; Veillonellaceae.
CCUACGGGAGGCAGCAGUGGGGGGUAUUGCACAAUGGGCGGAAGCCUGAUGCAGCGACGUCGCGUGAGGGAUGGAGGCCUUCGGGUUGUGAACCUCUUUCUCCGGUGGUGAAGGCCCUGUCCGUUGCGGCGGGGUUGACGGUAGCCGGGUAUGAAGCGCCGGCUAACUACGUGCCAGCAGCCGCGGUGAUACGUAGGGCGCGAGCGUUGUCCGGAAUUAUUGGGCGUGAAGGGCUUGUAGGCGGCCGGUCGCGUCCGCCGUGAAAUUCUCCGGCUCAACCGGGGGCUUGCGGUGGGUACGGGCCGGCUGGAGUGCGGUAGGGGAGGCUGGAACUCCUGGUGUAGCGGUGGAAUGCGCAGAUAUCAGGAGGAACACCGGUGGCGAAGGCGGGUCUCUGGGCCG